GACAGAGGUCCCGAGCGUUAGGCGGAAUUACUGGGCGUAAAGGGCUCGUAGGCGGCCAACUAAGUCAGACGUGAAAUCCCUCGGCUUAACCGGGGAACGGCGUCUGAUACUGGAUGGCUUGAAUCCGGGAGAGGGAUGCGGAAUUCCAGGUGUAGCGGUGAAAUGCGUAGAUAUCUGGAGGAACACCGGUGGCGAAGGCGGCAUCCUGGACCGGCAUUGACGCUGAGGAGCGAAAGCCAGGGGAGCAAACGGG
This 253-nucleotide ribosomal RNA is filed under the name uncultured bacterium. RNAcentral's name for it is "partial 16S ribosomal RNA". It matches the Rfam family "Bacterial small subunit ribosomal RNA", at positions 524 to 776 of the family's 1533-position model. The record is from RNAcentral.